CUACCAUGCAAGUCGAGCGGAUGAAGGGAGCUUGCUCCUGGAUUCAGCGGCGGACNGUUGAGUAAUGCCUAGGAAUCUGCCUGGUAGUGGGGGAUAACGUCCGUGAAACGGGCGCUAAUACCGCAUACGUCCUGAGGGAGAAAGUGGGGGAUCUUCGGACCUCACGCUAUCAGAUGAGCCUAGGUCGGAUUAGCUAGUUGGUGGGGUAAAGGCCUACCAAGGCGACGAUCCGUAACUGGUCUGAGAGGAUGAUCAGUCACACUGGAACUGAGACACGGUCCAGACUCCUACGGGAGGCAGCANUGGGGAAUAUUGGACAAUGGGCGAAAGCCUGAUCCAGCCAUGCCGCGUGUGUGAAGAAGGUCUUCGGAUUGUAAAGCACUUUAAGUUGGGAGGAAGGGCAGUAAGUUAAUACCUUGCUGUUUUGACGUUACCAACAGAAUAAGCACCGGCUAACUUCGUGCCAGCAGCCGCGGUAAUACGAAGGGUGCAAGCGUUAAUCGGAAUUACUGGGCGUAAAGCGCGCGUAGGUGGUUCAGCAAGUUGGAUGUGAAAUCCCCGGGCUCAACCUGGGAACUGCAUCCAAAACUACUGAGCUAGAGUACGGUAGAAGGUGGUGGAAUUUCCUGUGUAGCGGUGAAAUGCGUAGAUAUAGGAAGGAACACCAGUGGCGAAGGCGACCACCUGGACUGAUACUGACACUGAGGUGCGAAAGCGUGGGGAGCAAACAGGAUUAGAUACCCCUGGUAGUCCACGCCGUAAACGAUGUCGACUAGCCGUUGGGAUCCUUGAGAUCUUAGUGGCGCAGCUAACGCGAUAAGUCGACCGCCUGGGGAGUACGGCCGCAAGGUUAAAACUCAAAUGAAUUGACGGGGGCCCGCACAAGCGGUGGAGCAUGUGGUUUAAUUAGAAGCAACGCGAAGAACCUUACCUGGCCUUGACAUGCUGAGAACUUUCCAGAGAUGGAUUGGUGCCUUCGGGAACUCAGACACAGGUGCUGCAUGGCUGUCGUCAGCUCGUGUCGUGAGAUGUUGGGUUAAGUCCCGUAACGAGCGCAACCCUUGUCCUUAGUUACCAGCACCUCGGGUGGGCACUCUAAGGAGACUGCCGGUGACAAACCGGAGGAAGGUGGGGAUGACGUCAAGUCAUCAUGGCCCUUACGGCCAGGGCUACACACGUGCUACAAUGGUCGGUACAAAGGGUUGCCAAGCCGCGAGGUGGAGCUAAUCCCAUAAAACCGAUCGUAGUCCGGAUCGCAGUCUGCAACUCGACUGCGUGAAGUCGGAAUCGCUAGUAAUCGUGAAUCAGAAUGUCACGGUGAAUACGUUCCCGGGCCUUGUAUCACACCGCCCGUCACACCAUGGGAGUGGGUUGCUCCAGAAGUAGCUAGUCUAACCGCCAAGGGGGAUCGGUUAUCCACGGAGUGAUUCAUGACCGGGGCGAAGUCGUAACAAAGGUAGCCGUAGGGGAACCUGCGGCUGGAUCACCUUCCUUU
Molecule: ribosomal RNA, 1495 nt
Filed under: Pseudomonas aeruginosa
Lineage: Bacteria; Pseudomonadati; Pseudomonadota; Gammaproteobacteria; Pseudomonadales; Pseudomonadaceae
Description: bacterial SSU rRNA
Rfam family: Bacterial small subunit ribosomal RNA
Source: RNAcentral